AACUCUCAACCCCCUUGUUUUGUAACGAAACCAGUGUGGGCUUGGAUUAUGGCUGUUGCCGGCGUAAUUGUCGGCUCGGCUGAAAUACACGAGCUACCCAUUUCUUAGAAAUAGACGGUUUGACUCGGCGUAAUAAUAUAUUUCGCUGAGGACGUCACAUUCUUAAUAUUAGUGGUGCUUCUAAUGCGACAUCUAAAUCUUUAAGC
This 206-nucleotide unclassified non-coding RNA is filed under the name uncultured fungus. Its description in RNAcentral is "partial internal transcribed spacer 2". The record is from RNAcentral. Lineage: Eukaryota; Fungi.